Molecule: ribosomal RNA, 497 nt
Filed under: uncultured bacterium
Lineage: Bacteria
Description: partial 16S ribosomal RNA
Rfam family: Bacterial small subunit ribosomal RNA
Source: RNAcentral
UCCUCCCUCUUUCUUCGUGCCUAAUACAUGCAAGUAGAACGCUGAAGCUUGGUGCUUGCACCGAGCGGAUGAGUUGCGAACGGGUGAGUAACGCGUAGGUAACCUGCCUGGUAGCGGGGGAUAACUAUUGGAAACGAUAGCUAAUACCGCAUAAGAGUAGAUGUUGCAUGACAUUUGCUUAAAAGGUGCAAUUGCAUCACUACCAGAUGGACCUGCGUUGUAUUAGCUAGUUGGUGAGGUAACGGCUCACCAAGGCAACGAUACAUAGCCGACCUGAGAGGGUGAUCGGCCACACUGGGACUGAGACACGGCCCAGACUCCUACGGGAGGCAGCAGUAGGGAAUCUUCGGCAAUGGACGGAAGUCUGACCGAGCAACGCCGCGUGAGUGAAGAAGGUUUUCGGAUCGUAAAGCUCUGUUGUAAGAGAAGAACGAGUGUGAGAGUGGAAAGUUCACACUGUGACGGUAUCUUACCAGAAAGGGACGGCUAACUACGUG